RNAcentral lists this ribosomal RNA (503 nucleotides) under uncultured bacterium. RNAcentral's name for it is "partial 16S ribosomal RNA". It matches the Rfam family "Bacterial small subunit ribosomal RNA", at positions 30 to 523 of the family's 1533-position model. The record is from RNAcentral.
AUUGAACGCUGGCGGCAGGCUUAACACAUGCAAGUCGAGCGGGGUGAUGGUGCUUGCACUAUCACUUAGCGGCGGACGGGUGAGUAAUGCUUAGGAAUCUGCCUAUUAGUGGGGGACAACAUCUCGAAAGGGAUGCUAAUACCGCAUACGUCCUACGGGAGAAAGCAGGGGAUCACUUGUGACCUUGCGCUAAUAGAUGAGCCUAAGUCGGAUUAGCUAGUGGGUGGGGUAAAGGCCUACCAAGGCGACGAUCUGUAGCGGGUCUGAGAGGAUAAUCCGCCACACUGGGACAGAGACACGGCCCAGAAGACAACAGGAGGCAGCAGUGGGGAAUAUUGGACCAUGGGGGGAACCCUGAUCCAGCCAUGCCGCGUGUGUGAAGAAGGCCUUAUGGUUGUAAAGCACUUUAAGCGAGGAGGAGGAUCUUCUGGUUAAUACCCAAGAUGAGUGGACGUUACUCGCAGAAUAAGCACCGGCUAACUCUGUGCCAGCCGCCGCCGUAA